Molecule: non-coding RNA, 546 nt
Organism: Odocoileus virginianus texanus
Lineage: Eukaryota; Metazoa; Chordata; Mammalia; Artiodactyla; Cervidae
Source: RefSeq, a predicted model, not a curated record
CGAACAAACGGAAGUAUAGGUGAAGGUCUGAGGCAGCACCGCCAAGCUGGGCACCGGGGAGAUGGCCGAGACUGACCCCAAGACCAUGCAGGAUCUCACCUCAGUGGUGCAGACACUCCUGCAACAGAUGCAAGAUAAAUUUCAGACCAUGUCCGACCAGAUCAUUGGAAGAAUUGAUGAUAUGAGCAGUCACAUUGAUGACCUGGAGAAGAACAUAGCAGACCUCAUGAUGCAGGCCGGGGUGGAAGAGCUGGAUGGUGAGAACAAGAUCCCGGCCACACAGAAGAGCUGAAGGUUGCUUGUCUUCGCUGGAAUCUGGAACACCUUUUUACAAGCCAAGAGGAGACAGAUGGCUUUUUCAACUAACUACUAUGUGUAGACAGGUUUUAUAUUAUAAAGUGUGCAUUCUUCUUACCACAUACUAUAGAGUUAGUUUAUGGAGUGACUUCCCUCCCCUGCCCCCCAUGUUUCCUAAACAUGGUGACUUCACAUCUUGGACCUUGGUCAGUUGUGCUAUUAAACAGUAAAACUUUGGCAGUUCCUGCA